Potamilus streckersoni is the source of this 74-nucleotide non-coding RNA. The record is from the annotation of a GenBank genome assembly. NCBI's taxonomy places the organism in Eukaryota, Metazoa, Mollusca, Bivalvia, Unionida, Unionidae.
GCUUCGCUGGCUUAGUGGUUAGGGCGUCCGCCUUUGGAUGCGGGAGGUCGCAGGUUCGAACCCCAGUCGAGUCA